UGUCAGUGUUCAUACCUCAUCUCCUUAAUUCAAAACAGUUACAAAUAUAACAGCCCAGUUUUUCCAUAAGAGUAACAUUUUCUUGGGUCAAGAGCCAUAAAAAUUUAGAAGAUUUAUUUAAAUUUAUAAAAUUAUAACAAUUGUUAGAAAUGUCUUGAAAAAAAUCGUCCCUUUGAAUAUCAUAAAGAGGGCAUUCUAAUAAAAAAUGAAGCUCAUCUUCAACUUUACCAAGUGAGCAAU
RNAcentral lists this long non-coding RNA (240 nucleotides) under Mytilus galloprovincialis (Mediterranean mussel). The record is from RNAcentral. Lineage: Eukaryota; Metazoa; Mollusca; Bivalvia; Mytilida; Mytilidae.